UCUGAGCUGCGUUUUCAGGGUGUAGUGCAGGAAAACAUGAACCGCCGUGAGCACGGUCUAUUUUAUUUAGAAAAUUAACCGGAUGUUUUAUUUGUUUCUGUGCUCGACU
Long non-coding RNA from Etheostoma cragini (Arkansas darter), 109 nucleotides. RefSeq lists it as uncharacterized. NCBI's taxonomy places the organism in Eukaryota, Metazoa, Chordata, Actinopteri, Perciformes, Percidae. The record is from RefSeq and is a predicted model, not a curated record. The transcript is spliced from 3 exons.